RNAcentral lists this ribosomal RNA (253 nucleotides) under uncultured bacterium. RNAcentral describes it as "partial 16S ribosomal RNA". It matches the Rfam family "Bacterial small subunit ribosomal RNA", at positions 524 to 776 of the family's 1533-position model. The record is from RNAcentral.
UACGAAGGGGGCUAGCGUUGCUCGGAAUCACUGGGCGUAAAGGGUGCGUAGGCGGGUCUUUAAGUCAGGGGUGAAAUCCUGGAGCUCGACUCCAGAACUGCCUUUGAUACUGAAGAUCUUGAGUUCGGGAGAGGUGAGUGGAACUGCGAGUGUAGAGGUGAAAUUCGUAGAUAUUCGCAAGAACACCGGUGGCGAAGGCGGCUCUCUGGACCGAUACUGACGCUGAGGCGCGAAAGCGUGGGGAGCAAACAGG